Non-coding RNA from Schistosoma haematobium, 45 nucleotides. The record is from Rfam. NCBI's taxonomy places the organism in Eukaryota, Metazoa, Platyhelminthes, Trematoda, Strigeidida, Schistosomatidae.
AUCCGUCUGGAAAGUCCCAAAUAGGACGAGAUGCGCAUCCUGGAU